AUAAACCUACGGGGGGCAGCAGUGGGGAAUAUUGCACAAUGGGGGAAACCCUGAUGCAGCGACGCCGCGUGGGUGAAGAAGUACUUCGGUACGUAAAGCCCUAUCAGCAGGGAAGAAAAUGACGGUACCUGAUUAAGAAGCCCCGGCUAACUACGUGCCAGCAGCCGCGGUAAUACGUAGGGGGCAAGCGUUAUCCGGAUUCAUUGGGCGUAAAGCGCGCGUAGGCGGCCUGUUAGGUCGGGGGUCAAAUACCGGGGCUCAACCCCGGU
RNAcentral lists this ribosomal RNA (269 nucleotides) under uncultured bacterium. RNAcentral's name for it is "partial 16S ribosomal RNA". It matches the Rfam family "Bacterial small subunit ribosomal RNA", at positions 333 to 619 of the family's 1533-position model. The record is from RNAcentral.